UAAUACAGAGGGGGCAAGCGUUAUUCGGAAUUAUUGGGCGUAAAGGGCGCGUAGGCGGCUUGGCAAGUGGAUGGUGAAAUCCCUCGGCUUAACCGAGGAACUGCCGUCCAAACUGCUUUGCUUGAGGCCGGGAGAGGUGAGUGGAAUUCCCAGUGUAGCGGUGAAAUGCGUAGAUAUUGGGAGGAACACCAGUGGCGAAGGCGGCUCACUGGACCGGUACUGACGCUGAUGCGCGAAAGCGUGGGGAGCAAACGGGAUUAGAUACCCCGGUAGUCCACGCCGUAAACGAUGAGUGCUUGGUGUAGCGGGUAUCGACCCCUGCUGUGCCGAAGUCAACACAUUAAGCACUCCGCCUGGGGAGUACGGUCGCAAGGCU
RNAcentral lists this ribosomal RNA (376 nucleotides) under uncultured bacterium. RNAcentral's name for it is "bacterial SSU rRNA". It matches the Rfam family "Bacterial small subunit ribosomal RNA", at positions 521 to 895 of the family's 1533-position model. The record is from RNAcentral.